This 460-nucleotide ribosomal RNA is filed under the name uncultured bacterium. Its description in RNAcentral is "partial 16S ribosomal RNA". It matches the Rfam family "Bacterial small subunit ribosomal RNA", at positions 338 to 795 of the family's 1533-position model. The record is from RNAcentral.
CCUACGGGUGGCAGCAGUGAGGAAUAUUGGUCAAUGGACGAGAGUCUGAACCAGCCAAGUAGCGUGAAGGAUGACUGCCCUAUGGGUUGUAAACUUCUUUUAUAAAGGAAUAAAACGAGGCACGUGUGCCUUUUUGCAUGUACUUUAUGAAUAAGGAUCGGCUAACUCCGUGCCAGCAGCCGCGGUAAUACGGAGGAUCCGAGCGUUAUCCGGAUUUAUUGGGUUUAAAGGGCGCGUAGAUGGGUUGUUAAGUCAGUUGUGAAAGUUUGCGGCUCAACCGUAAAAUUGCAAUUGAUACUGGCAGUCUUGAGUGAGCGAGAAGUAUGCGGAAUGCGUGGUGUAGCGGUGAAAUGCAUAGAGAUCACGCAGAACUCCGAUUGCGAAGGCAGCAUACCGGCGCUCAACUGACGCUCAUGCACGAAAGUGUGGGUAUCGAACAGGAUUAGAUACCCGAGUAGUC